Molecule: signal recognition particle RNA, 299 nt
Filed under: Aotus nancymaae (Ma's night monkey)
Lineage: Eukaryota; Metazoa; Chordata; Mammalia; Primates; Aotidae
Description: Metazoan signal recognition particle RNA (ENSANAG00000012131.1)
Rfam family: Metazoan signal recognition particle RNA
About the family: The signal recognition particle (SRP) is a universally conserved ribonucleoprotein. It is involved in the co-translational targeting of proteins to membranes. The eukaryotic SRP consists of a 300-nucleotide 7S RNA and six proteins: SRPs 72, 68, 54, 19, 14, and 9.
Source: RNAcentral
GCCAGGCUCAGUGGCACGUGCCUGUAGUCCCAGCUACUCAGGAGGCCGAGGCAGGAGGAUCACUUGAGUCCUAGAGUUCUGGGCUGUAGUGAGCUAUGCCGGUCGCAUGUCCACACUAAGUUUGGCAUCAAUAUAGUGACCUCGCGGGAGUGGGCAACCAUCAAGUUGCCUAAGGAGGGGUGAACCAGCCCAGGUCAGAAACCUAGCAGGUCAAAAGUCCUGUGCUGAUCAGUAGUGGGAUCACACCUGUGAAGAGCCACUGCACUCCAGCCUGGGCAACAUAGUCAGAUCCUGUCUCU